Molecule: long non-coding RNA, 845 nt
Filed under: Ananas comosus (pineapple)
Lineage: Eukaryota; Viridiplantae; Streptophyta; Magnoliopsida; Poales; Bromeliaceae
Description: long non-coding RNA (ACOM_LNC035135)
Source: RNAcentral
GAGAGAGAGAGAGAGUUGGUAGUGUUUAUAAAAAUAUCAAACAUUUGGUGCUUCAUGCUUAUAAAUUUUUUUCCAUUAAAUUUAUUUUUUUAAUUGUUUCUAUCUAUUAGACUAUUCAACCAACCAUUCAUUCAAUUUUAAAAAUCUUAUAUCAUUCUAAUCGUACAUAUCUUAAUCUAAUGGUCAAAAAUCUAUAAACAUCAAUCACUUAUACUUUUAAAAGCAUAUAUAAGAGUUCUCUCUCUCUCUCUCUCUCUCUCUCUCUCUAUAUAUAUAUAUAUAUAUAUAUAUGGAGUGCAUCUGGUAUGCUUUCGGAAGUACGGAGCGCUUCGUGCUUUCAAGUCGUUUUCGAUGUUAGGACUUUCAAAUUGAUGAUCAGCUUGAUUAGACUUGAUCUAGAAUAUUUUAAGUAUCUAGAAAAUAAAUUUUGUGCUUUUUUUAUAUCAUUUGCCUAGUGAUCGAAGUUGUUCAAAAUCAACGGUUGAAAAUAAAAAUCUUACAAAAUAUGAUGAUAUGACAUUAAAAUUUUAGAUCAAAGUUAUUGAUCUUGUUUUAUAUGGUAUAAAAAAUUUUCUAUCAAAAUUUCAUGUGAUUUGUAUAUUUCUACACCGUUAAACUUGCAAACGGCUCACCACGGCCAUUAAAAUUAUUGAUUUUGAGCCCCUUUGAUCACUAGGCAAAUGAUAUCGAAAAAUCACAAAAUUUAUUUUUUAGGUACUUCAAAUACUCUAGAUCAAUUCUAACGGAGCCGAUCGUCGAUUCGAAAGUCCGAACAUCGAAAACAACUUGGAAGCACAGAGGGCUCCGUGCUUCCAGAAGCAUAACAGCCCACUCUAUACAUAUAU